AAAUAAAGAAGGAAGAUGCAUAUGUCGAUUCCAGUGGCAUAUGUCGCGUUCCUCUGAAUGAAUAAAGACCCAAAUAAACUACUGCAUUUUGUGCCACCCCUUUUCCUUUCCUUCUCCACCUUUCAGGUUCCUAAAGAAUUAAAAGAUGGGACUGGCUCUGGGUUGUCUUCAAGUGGAGCAAUCAACAGUAGCUAUCAAAGAAGUCUUUGGCAAACAUGAUGAUGGGCUUGAACCUGGUUUCCACUGUGUGCCAUGGUUCUUUUGCACUCAAGUGGCCGGUUACCUUUCUUUGCGUGUGCAACAGCUAGAUGUUCGCUGCGAAACCAAGACAAAGGACAAUGUUUUUGGUGACCCAAUACUUUGGCACGUUGAAGGAGAUCGGUGCGUCCUCAAAAUCCAAUUCGGUUUUUGUUCCACAUGGACCAGGUGCUGUGAGAGAUAUUGCUUCACAAUUUAGAGAUAGUCUUCUUCAAGGAAAGGUGGCUCAGUCAUGAAAUCACACACAUUACAUUACUUGAACUAUAUGAAUCUAUCUUCUAGACUCUAACGACAUAUAUACAUUUUAAUUUUGUCUGAGUGUUAAGUUUGAACUAAUUCGGUAUGUUAAUAUCCCUUUCCAUAUCAUCCAUUGUCUCUCUAUCCAUAUCCUCUUUUUUUGAGUUGAGAAUAGCCAAACAUUAUACUCUUACUUUUUUUCCUUUGAAAUAAACAUAAUGGUGUUCGAAUUUGCUU
Glycine soja is the source of this 732-nucleotide long non-coding RNA. RefSeq lists it as uncharacterized. Lineage: Eukaryota; Viridiplantae; Streptophyta; Magnoliopsida; Fabales; Fabaceae. The transcript has 3 exons. The record is from RefSeq and is a predicted model, not a curated record.